Molecule: ribosomal RNA, 760 nt
Filed under: uncultured bacterium
Lineage: Bacteria
Description: bacterial SSU rRNA
Rfam family: Bacterial small subunit ribosomal RNA
Source: RNAcentral
AGAGUUUGAUCAUGGCUCAGAACGAACGCUGGCGGCAUGCUACACAUGCAAGUCGAACCUCGGGGCUUCGGCUCGGGGGAGUGGCGGACGGGUGAGUAGCGCGUGGGAACCUGCCCUGUUGUGGGGGAUAACCGAGGGAAACUUCGGCUAAUACCGCAUGCGCCCCGGGCCCUGGUCUUCGGAUUAGGUUUCGGGGGAAAGAUUUAUCGCAGCAGGAGGGGCCCGCGUCGGAUUAGGUAGUUGGUGGGGUAACGGCCUACCAAGCCUAUGAUCCGUAGCUGGUCUGAGAGGAUGAUCAGCCACACUGGGACUGAGACACGGCCCAGACUCCUACGGGAGGCAGCAGUGGGGAAUAUUGGACAAUGGGCGCAAGCCUGAUCCAGCAAUGCCGCGUGAGUGACGAAGGCCUUAGGGUUGUAAGCUCUUUCGCCCGCCGAUGAUGACGGUAGCGGGAGAAGAAGCCCCGGCUAACUUCGUGCCAGCAGCCGCGGUAAUACGAAGGGGGCGAGCGUUGUUCGGAAUCACUGGGCGUAAAGGGCGCGUAGGCGGCCUCUUAGUCGCGUGUGAAAGCCCCGGGCUCACCUGGGAACGGCCNCGAAACGGGAGGGCUGGAGUUCGGGAGAGGAGAGUGGAAUUCCCAGUGUAGAGGUGAAAUUCAGAUAUUGGGAAGAACACCGGUGGCGAAGGCGGCNNNNNGGCCGAGACUAACGCUGAGGCCGAAAGCGUGGGGAGCAAACAGGAUUAGAUACCCUAGUAGUCC